RNAcentral lists this long non-coding RNA (1805 nucleotides) under Ornithorhynchus anatinus (platypus). Its description in RNAcentral is "lncRNA (ENSOANG00000041207.1)". The record is from RNAcentral. Lineage: Eukaryota; Metazoa; Chordata; Mammalia; Monotremata; Ornithorhynchidae.
UGCACUGUUACGAUUACAUUGCCGUCCUCGAGGGGACUUGAAGGUCUCCCCAUAUAAGUUACUGUUUGGUCACCCCCUCCCGCGGGGGAGGUCCGGUUCAGUCUAUCACUCUCAUGGAAGGUGAUGAAACGCUGGCAAAGUACUUCGUCUCCCUGCAGCAGGAAGUGAACACCCUCCAGCGAGACGUGAUCAACUGCCAAGCAGUACACUUAGAUGGUCAAGCCAGCGGUCAUGGACGGUUCUCCAGGGGAGUGACCUGCAGACAAUGGAACUGACGCCAUGGAGAAGCAACAACCCCACACUCCAAUUGCUGCUCUAUGUCUCAGACGGUCCUCGACUGGAUGGACGAUCUGGUGAGACUCAGGAGGACUUUGGCCACCAUUAUCAGAAUGAUCUGUGAUCCUGCGGUGGUUAGCACACCUAGGAUCAAAGGGGCGAUUGUACUGGAUGAUUUACCAUCCAGUCUCUGUUCUGUCUCCUUCCCAUAUCAUACUAGGCAAUUGACCAUCCUGUCUCCAUUCUAUCGCCUUCCAAUAUUGUGCUAAAUAUCCUAUCGCCAUUUAAUCUCCUUCCUAUGGUAGAUCAAUUAGUUAAAUUUGGGUAACGAUGUGUCAAUUACAUUACCUUAUUAGGACCACUCCUAAGAACUGGUUCUGAAUGGAGGGUGGAGUUCCGGGCAAUGCCAGGGGAUCGGGUGGGAUUUGGGGUGUGCACUGGAAGAGUUGUGGUCGAAUGGAAUGCAGAAAUGCUUGCAAAUAAAGGUACCGGGUUCAGGACGGCUCGUGGCUGUUUGUCACUUGUACCCUGCCGGGGAAAACGGGCGGCAGCCACUUUCCGCCCUUUCCUGCUCCCUCGGCUCAUUUAUUUCUUGAGUCUUUUCAUUUCUACCCCAGUGUCACGAAACCCCCUCAUGCAAUUGCGAGAUCAGAGUCGUUUCUCUGACAAAAAUCUGUAACAACACCUCCCUGCUGGGAGGGGUGAAUCAAUUAACCCAUGAUGUCAGAACUCUCCAGCAGUGCCUGAAGCAGCUACAUAAGGCCAGAGUCCUCCACCAGCCAGCCCCAACCCACUGCCACCUGCACCCCUAUGUGCCCGGAAAUUUCGUGUUGAUCCUGCACCACCGGAGGACCACGCCUACGACGCCGAAGUGGGAUAGCCUGUUCCAGGUGCUCCUGACCACACAAACUACAGCGAAGGUGGCAGAGAGGAAUGCCUGGAUCCUCCACUCACACCUUAAACGAGCAUUCAGGUGUGAUUCACUCUGUGCUAGAGAGCCUUCGGCAGCCGUGACUCCCAGAAUACCCGAGGAGAAACCGACAGAUAAGUGGGAUUCUUCCGGCUGUGUCGGGUCCAGACCGAGCGACUGUUCAGACCGAGCGACUGUUUUCGGCAGGAGAUCAGUCCCACCCCGGGCCCUGCCAAAAUAAAGCCAGUGGCAGAUAGAACAGCGACUCCACGAUGAUGGACCACCUUCCUCCGGAAUCCCCCAGCAGUCAUCCCGGAAGGCGCCAGAUUCACUGUUCCUCGAUGCCCCCGGCCGAGACCGCCCGAGCCACGGUUGUGGAAUGUCCGCCGGGGACAUCCCCCAAUGCCUUUGGGCGCCCCCCCGAGAUAGGCCCCGGGACCCUCUGGUCUCCUGUACAUGGAGAGCAGUGAAUAAAAAUGUCUUAAGCCCAGUCCCAGGCCUGUUGGUGGUCUCUUGUUUGUGGAUUGGGUCUGUGCUGUCCUAAGCGGUGGGACAUGUCAGGAGCUUCUUUGACAACCAAGAUUUUGCAGGUCAGUGAAUGGGUCUACCACAUUCUUCC